AAUUUUUCAAAAAUAGUCUGCGCUUGUUGAUAUGUUUCUGUGCAUGCAGUGCGUCAAAUGAUCUAAAUGGAUCGUAUUAUUCAGAAGUGGCAGGGUUAAGAAUGCAGUUUGCCGGUCAUUUUCACUGAGCGUCAGUGUUGAUAUUAAUAUGAUACACAGAACUUGAUGAUAGAGGUGAAGGGGGCCCAAGACUUUUUUCCAUAUUAUUAUUUUAUGGAUACCAAGGGUAAUUGCCAAGGGCAAGCGGUAUAUUUUUGACCAGAAUUCAAUCUGGUGGCGUUUUGUGGCCGUCAUAUUAUGUUCGGGUUUCGUUCGUAAGCGUGUAGAUUUGUAAAUAGGCCUAACUUAUGCAUCGCCUACUGACCGCACUGACAGUUAUCGCCAUUUCUUCUGUGUUAUUUCUGAAAUCAUUACUAUUUAAAGUUUACAUGUACUAAUCUUCUGACUUUGAUUUUUGUGCAACAAUGUGGCUCAUCCAGGCCAUGGGAAUGGUUAAGUAGAUUUCUCUUAUACAGCGAAAAGAGGGAAUCAAAACAAUGGAAGUAUUCAGCUCGACUCUCUGUAGGCUGCUAGUUAUAGCCCUAGUCUAAAGUGAUCAAUGAUGUUAUGAAAAAAAUCGUAUUUUCGGGAAGAGACAGAAACAUACUUGAUGUUUCCGAAAAGGCCUAAUUAGCACUGACUGAAGUAGCCUAAAUGUGGAUCAUCAGGUUGUUGCUGCUGUCUAUAAAGUUUAUCAUAGCAAGGUGCUUAUCAUGUGUAUUUUUAUUAUUUCCGAAAAAAGAAUCAAUUCAUCAUUUUCCGAUAACUAGAUCUAUGUCCGACUCCUUUCUAAUGAAAACGAGCAAAAGUAAAACGAGUCUCUCGUCGCGCGCUAUAACGGGGUGUUUUCGGUAUUGUCCUCUCUGGUGAUGAUAAGCUAGUCGAUAGUCAAAAGUUAAAUAUCACCAUAUAUUGUCAGUGAGUUGGUCAUCGUUUGUUGAUGAUUAAAGUGAGAUAGGUGUAGCCAAUGUGCACCAAUGAAAAAUACAAUGGAAUUGAUAGCAACCAUAUUCUUUCGGUUUUCGAUCUGCAUAUGUUGCCACGUAGGCUACCAUACUACAGAAUUAUAUUUAACGAUAUUUAACUGUAUUAGAUCUAUGUUAAUAAACGUAGUGACAAAUAAAUUUCAAUAAAUAUUUAGAGCUGUUUCAACUUCGUCUGGUAUUGUAUAAGCUAUUGCAUUUUGUUUAUUUCCCCAUGUUUCUAAUCUUUGUAAAUGUUAGAACAUAUAUAACUAUCCUGGCAUAUUAAUAUGGAAAAUAUUAAGGUAGAUCUAAGUAUUAAAAAAAAUCACAGUUUUAAUUAGGAUAAAUACCCCAAAGUGUUAACACUUUUAUCACUUAUUGGUGGGCCAAUUCAUAAUUCAUAUUCAACAUUCUUGCUUCAAAUAUGGGAACUAUUUAUUUUAUUUGGCAAUAUAUAUUUUUCAUUUAUGUACAUAUUUUUCAAAUAAGGUUUUAGAAACUUAGCCAUGAUAUUCACUUGAAUCACUAGUUUGAGUGUACAGCAGAAAGGUAAAGUUACUGCUUUUGAAAAACUACAGUUGAUCUGUUGACUGAUAAAACUAUUUGCCAAUAUUACUAUCAGUUACAUCAUACUCUAUUAGUCUAAGUAAAUGGGAUUUAUCUAUACAGUACUGGUUUAUUUAAGAAUGUGAUACUUUGUGGUUUCUGUUUUUCUUUCAGGUGGAGAAAACAGUAUUGUGGGAGCGUAUUUGUUUAAAGUACAUAUCACUGACAGAAAGUUACCAAGGCAUAAGGAGAGACUGAGGAUACAGUUGAAGAUCAUCCCUGUGACUUUUCAUUUGAGGACUGAAAAGGCUCCCCAGCAACUCAGCCCAUGUUCUGACUUGUCAUUUAACAAAUAAAUAAAGGUCACCUCAA
Molecule: long non-coding RNA, 1922 nt
Filed under: Haliotis rufescens (red abalone)
Lineage: Eukaryota; Metazoa; Mollusca; Gastropoda; Lepetellida; Haliotidae
Description: uncharacterized LOC125372809
Source: RNAcentral